RNAcentral lists this microRNA (22 nucleotides) under Ornithorhynchus anatinus (platypus). RNAcentral describes it as "Oan-Mir-92-P2d_3p (mature (guide))". The record is from RNAcentral. Lineage: Eukaryota; Metazoa; Chordata; Mammalia; Monotremata; Ornithorhynchidae.
CAUUGCACUUGUCUCGGUAUGA